AAAUGGAAGAAUCAGAUAAGAUUCGAAAAGCUAGUGAACCUAUAGAGCUUGUUAAAUUGGUUAAGCGAAUAAAGCAUGAAUUAUCGAGUGACGAAUCAUUGGCCGAAUUGCCACGGGCGGUUAAGCAUAAGAUAACUGAUGAAAUCUUACAGAGAUUGAGAAGUUUGAGACCAAAUGCCAGUAUCAGUGACCAGCAAGGCGCAGUCUCCUAACUACAAUGCUACCCUGAAACA
This is a long non-coding RNA of Gossypium raimondii (Peruvian cotton), 233 nucleotides long. RefSeq lists it as uncharacterized. The transcript has 3 exons. Lineage: Eukaryota; Viridiplantae; Streptophyta; Magnoliopsida; Malvales; Malvaceae. The record is from RefSeq and is a predicted model, not a curated record.